Molecule: ribosomal RNA, 460 nt
Filed under: uncultured bacterium
Lineage: Bacteria
Description: partial 16S ribosomal RNA
Rfam family: Bacterial small subunit ribosomal RNA
Source: RNAcentral
CCUACGGGGGGCAGCAGUGAGGAAUAUUGGUCAAUGGGCGUAAGCCUGAACCAGCCAAGUCGCGUGAGGGAUGAAGGUUCUAUGGAUCGUAAACCUCUUUUAUAAGGGAAUAAAGUGUGGGACGUGUCCUGUUUUGUAUGUACCUUAUGAAUAAGGAUCGGCUAACUCCGUGCCAGCAGACGCGGUAAUACGGAGGAUCCGAGCGUUAUCCGGAUUUAUUGGGUUUAAAGGGUGCGUAGGCGGCCUUUUAAGUCAGCGGUGAAAGUCUGUGGCUCAACCAUGGAAUUGCCGUUGAAACUGGGAGGCUUGAGGAUGUUUGAGGCAGGCGGAAUGCGUGGUGUAGCGGUGAAAUGCUUAGAUAUCACGCAGAACCCCGAUUGCGAAGGCAGCCUGCCAAGCCAUGACUGACGCUGAUGCACGAAAGCGUGGGGAUCAAACAGGAUUAGAUACCCGUGUAGUC